AUGAAAUCUUUUAUGACCCUGUGGAAGGUGCUCCCCUUGUAUCCUAUCGGAACCCCAUCUUUUCUGAAUUCUCCUGUGCAGAACUGCCUAAAAUUCUCCGCCGUCUUAGGCACAACGUCUGCAAAGAGCUCAAUCUUCAUACGACCAACUUCCUGGCCGCCAAUGCUGACAUCAAAGAAUACCACGGGAUUGACAGGGCUUGAAUUUGCCACCGCCAUGCCUCUGACCAGGAAGGGCUGGCUGCCCCUCCUGUAGCUCCCAAGCCCUUCUUGGUCAGAGGCGGCUCUCCAGGACCCGGCCUUGCCUGCAGCUCCACAGGCCCCUUCCAAGGUCCAAUCACGAGCCUGUGGGACCAGCGAUCACGGCUGACCUGGGAUCCUGGGCCUGUGUUCCUCUUCCCAUCACUCUGUCCUUCCUCUUGUGUUUAGUCCCCCAUCCCAGGCUCUGCUAGGGUCCCCUAAGAGGGGGUGGAUAUCAGCGUGACCAGAAGUCCCUCCUUUGGACAUUCAGCUUCUUGGGGUCCUAUGGCCAGAUGGUCUCUGAGGUUGCCUCCUCAUCUUUCCCAAUCAGCAUUUUGAAACAGAAACGAAGGUCUCCAGGGGGCUUUCUCUUAUGAAAUUAUCUGGCUUCAUUAUGUCAUGAGAAAAAGAGAGAAUCCAAACACACCACAGACUGCCAGGCGUUUGACAAGUGUCAGCAGCCAGAGCCAGGGUUGGUGAUUGGGGAGCCCCCCUCCUCUACCUUUAGAAUCUGAACAAUGGGGCCUUUUGUGGGGGUUGUCGCUUCUGCUGGGCCCUUCUGAGUCACUGCAUAUUUUUAUGUGUUCAGUAAUAUACAGUGUGAGUCAUUCUCCAGCUUGGGGGUAUUUUGGGACUUGUGCUGUUUUACUUACAAUUGCAGGAAAAAAAUCAAAUAUUACGGAGGUGAUAAAAAAUACAGCAAAUUCAUAUGACCCAACUUGGUGUGUUCACAAUGCCAGGGCUGGGAAGGGAGCUAGCUGUGCCUGAGGUCAUUGUGAA
RNAcentral lists this long non-coding RNA (1019 nucleotides) under Bos indicus x Bos taurus (hybrid cattle). RNAcentral's name for it is "lncRNA (ENSBIXG00005014378.1)". Lineage: Eukaryota; Metazoa; Chordata; Mammalia; Artiodactyla; Bovidae. The record is from RNAcentral.